UAGAUUUAGUAGGGUUUGAUUCUUCACCUGUGGGAUAGGGAUUCCUCAGCCUCUGCUUCCUCUUUUGCUCGUGCCCGUCGUCUCCACGAUCGGCGAAGUGGAGGAUGAACCGUCGCGAUCAUUGACAAAUGCAUCGGGUCUCUGCGGCAGCGAUGGCAUUUAGAAGAAGACGAGAAGCAGGUGGAAGAAUCACUUGCCGUCGAAUCAUCUCCUCCUCUUUCGACGUCUGCCAACGACGAACUACCGCGCAGAAUUUUUCAACAGGUAUGUUCUUGAAUACGCAUAUAUCGGAAGUUCUCUCAAAGUUCUUUCCAGCUACAGUUCUGCCCAGAUAUCGGAAGUAAAUUAUCAGUGGUUCAGAAGACAAGUCUGUGUACCACUGGGAACUCCAAACAAGAAAUCUUGUGCAGAAACUGGAAGUUCACUAGUAUCAUGCCACCCAUCUCAAAACAUGAUUGCUUCUGGGGUAAUUGAUGACAAUAAGACAGUGAAAAUAUGUUUCAGAAGAAGUAAGAUCAGCCGGAAGACUGGUAUUUCUUCUUACAACUUACUAACUAGUGGUGUGGACAAAUCCAAUCCUGCAUGCAAUCUUUAUUAUGGUUUAGUUGAAGGGCUGGAGUUUGUGAUUAGUUUCUUUGUCAUGUAAUGCAACAAAAUAUCUGUCAUACAGGCUUUUCAUCCCCGGGACAAGCUCUUGUCCAGUAGCAUCGUAGACCUGAAGCGGACAACUUAUGGUGCAGGUUCGAGCUUUAGGGUUCCUAUCACCGAUUUCUGUCAUCUUUUUAACCUCAACAAAGUUUGUGGACUACUGGUCUAGCAGUUCAACAUCUCCUGCUUCUCCGAUAACCAUGCUUCGCCGCAGUCUCCAAUCGAUUUGCAGUUUAUGAAUGGCUCAUUUGACCUAAAAAUUAUUUGGCUUCCAUCUAUUAUAAUUCAUUACAGCAGGACUUCCAGUAUCACUAGGGACAAGGGAAACAGUGGUGACCAUGGUUGGAUGAGCUGUGGCAUGCAAGUACAGUUGAUGCAGAUCAACUGUUGCUGUUAUUAUUAUUAUCAUCAUUAUUCUUGGCCUUAUCAUCCUCAGCCUUCUUGAUGGUGUACUUGAGGGAACAAAUGCAUCUAAAUGGCUUGACAUUGUAAUGCAACAAUCUCCAUCCUCAGUCCAUUGAUGUAACAGUAUGAGAAUUAGUCCCAAGGGAAUCUUAAUUAGGUUGCUAACAAAGUUCGUGUUUGUUGUCAUCAUAUAAUUUUAUAUGCUACUAAUUGAGAAAUCAUUUGCUAAAUGUUGUUAUCAGUCUAAACGAAAAGGAAAGAUGGAGAUUUGCUUUGCUU
Molecule: non-coding RNA, 1332 nt
Organism: Musa acuminata subsp. malaccensis (wild Malaysian banana)
Lineage: Eukaryota; Viridiplantae; Streptophyta; Magnoliopsida; Zingiberales; Musaceae
Source: RefSeq, a predicted model, not a curated record